GAUGAACGCUGGCGGCGUGCCUAAUACAUGCAAGUCGAGCGGACGGACGAGAAGCUUGCUUCUCUGAUGUUAGCGGCGGACGGGUGAGUAACACGUGGAUAACCUACCUAUAAGACUGGGAUAACUUCGGGAAACCGGAGCUAAUACCGGAUACUAUUUUGAACCGCAUGGUUCAAAAGUGAAAGACGGUCUUGCUGUCACUGAUAGAUGGAUCCGCGCUGCAUUAGCUAGUUGGUAAGGUAACGGCUUACCAAGGCAACGAUGCAUAGCCGACCUGAGAGGGUGAUCGGCCACACUGGAACUGAGACACGGUCCAGACUCCUACGGGAGGCAGCAGUAGGGAAUCUUCCGCAAUGGGCGAAAGCCUGACGGAGCAACGCCGCGUGAGUGAUGAAGGUCUUCGGAUCGUAAAACUCUGUUAUUAGGGAAGAACAUAUGUGUAAGUAACUGUGCACAUCUUGACGGUACCUAAUCAGAAAGCCACGGCUAACUACGUG
Molecule: ribosomal RNA, 497 nt
Filed under: uncultured bacterium
Lineage: Bacteria
Description: partial 16S ribosomal RNA
Rfam family: Bacterial small subunit ribosomal RNA
Source: RNAcentral